Molecule: long non-coding RNA, 1847 nt
Organism: Lytechinus pictus (painted urchin)
Lineage: Eukaryota; Metazoa; Echinodermata; Echinoidea; Temnopleuroida; Toxopneustidae
Exons: 3
Source: RefSeq, a predicted model, not a curated record
GAUAAUGGACAGGCUGCAUUUAUUCAUGCUUGUUGCCAUGGCAACGAUACUCAGCCUUUUAAUGCCAUCUGAUGCCGGACGCGGAGAUGGGUGCAGAUAUUAUAGGAGGAUGUGUAAACACGAAGGAACACGCUACGAACGAUGGGAUACAUGGUCCACCGAUGAUUGCUAUGACUGUACGUGUCUCGGGAAAGGCUAUGGAUAUAAAUGCUGCCAGGACUUUUGGUUACCAAUGAUAUUCGAUGAGAAUCAAUGCGAAGCCGUCUGGGAUAAGGAAACCUGUUCCUACUCCGUUGUGAACCGCGACCCGACCGACACAACGCCUUGUGAAAUCUUCGCUGGAAUUCUGAAAUAGAUAUAGCGCCAUCUAUAAACAACCUCUGUAUAGUACUGUUGAUUAUUUUUAUUCUAAACCAUUGAUCCCUAUAUUUCUGUUAAUGAAAAAGACGAGUGUGCUAAACGGGGAAAAUGCCAGGGAAAUUACAUUAGUUUAGUAUAAGAUUAGACCAAUCGUUUUAUUUUUUUUUUCAUAAUUAUAAUAAUUUUUUUUCUGUAAUCGAUUAUAUUGCCAUAUGUAAAAGGAAGGAAUUAAUAAACUCAUUAAUUUCAUAAUACAUGGAUAACUGAUGAAAUAACGAAUUUCAUUGAUGCAGAACGGUUCUUAACAUUUGCUCCGGCGACAAUGGCUCCGCUGUGAAUUCCACACACUAAUGGAAUCGCCAACUUCAACCCUGGAAUUAUACCCUUUCCUAAAUCUAACAUUAACCCUAUUGCAACCCCAACCCUAUAUCUUAGUCGAAAUUAAGCCCGCAGGAAUUGUCGCAGGAGCAAGUGUCGUGUCACCAUGCAGAACAUACAGAUAUAUUGAUUGUCAGUGAUAACGCCUUGAUUGGAUCAUCAACAAAACAAGCGGAUCUUGAAAUUAUUCUAGCUUUGCAAAAUUACUAAAUUUCAUUCAGUGCCGAACUAUUGAAAUAGCCAAGUGUAAGUUAAACAAUGAAUGAUGUAUUUCUGGUCAUACAUAAUGCCAGAGAGUCGAUAUUUUAAAAAAAAAAUUAAUAUCAUUAGUAUUAUCGUUCAUGAUUUUUUGUUUAAAUUUUGUUUAUGGAGAGAGGGUUUGGGCAUAAUUUUGUGUUUUAUCUGUUAUCAUUCUAAACGGAGGACAAAGUGUUUCUUUGAAAAGAUGAUAAUUAAUCUUUCUUUGUGAACAGUACUAGUCUAUACACUCUAAAUUCCAAGGACUUAAAAUAAAUCCAGAUCUGAUGUGAAUAGUGACCAGCCGAAUUUUGAAUUCAUUUUAAAUCUUAAGGAUUAACUUUUAAAUCUCAAAAGAUUUAUAUUCCAAUCUUUUAGAUUUAUAUUUAAAUCAAGGUUUAAAUUCAAUAUUCGGCUUGCCUCUAUUCACAGCCGAUCUGGAUUUAUUUUAAAUCCUUGGAAUUAAGAGUGUAGAUUAUCAUAUUUGUCAUAAUAUGAUAUCAACAAGUCCUUUUCACACUCUUAACACUCCCCACCCAGGGUGAAAGGUCACAAAUGUGCAUGAGUCAUGCAUUGACGUAUUGCCAAUGAGCUUUUUAUGAAGCGUAUAAAUUUUCGUCCCAUCAACGUUGCCCUAUACGAUUUUCCAAGUACCGAAAAAAACAAACGGGUGAAAAAUUAAAGGGGGAGAAAAAAGAAGAAGAUUAUAUUAAUAGGGAAUUAUCUGUCGUCAAACGAUAUCAUACGUUUUAUUCCACUGAGAAAAAUAUUUCGUCAAUUCCUGCCCCAUAUAUCGAUUGAUGUGUUCAUUGAUGUAUUCCUUAUUGUACAAUGCAAAUUAAUACAUUUUGUUUGUUCAACGUAAAACGUUC